RNAcentral lists this ribosomal RNA (514 nucleotides) under uncultured Flavobacterium sp. Its description in RNAcentral is "bacterial SSU rRNA". It matches the Rfam family "Bacterial small subunit ribosomal RNA", at positions 9 to 521 of the family's 1533-position model. The record is from RNAcentral. Lineage: Bacteria; Pseudomonadati; Bacteroidota; Flavobacteriia; Flavobacteriales; Flavobacteriaceae.
GAGUUUGAUCAUGGCUCAGGAUGAACGCUAGCGGCAGGCUUAACACAUGCAAGUCGAGGGGUAGAGGAAGCUUGCUUCCUUGAGACCGGCGCACGGGUGCGUAACGCGUAUGCAAUCUACCUUGUACAGGGGGAUAGCCCAGAGAAAUUUGGAUUAAUACCCCAUAGUGUAGUUGAAUGGCAUCAUUUAACUACUAAAGUUCCAACGGUACAAGAUGAGCAUGCGUCCUAUUAGCUAGUUGGUGUGGUAACGGCAUACCAAGGCUACGAUAGGUAGGGGUCCUGAGAGGGAGAUCCCCCACACUGGUACUGAGACACGGACCAGACUCCUACGGGAGGCAGCAGUGAGGAAUAUUGGACAAUGGGCGCAAGCCUGAUCCAGCCAUGCCGCGUGCAGGAAGACGGUCCUAUGGAUUGUAAACUGCUUUUUAUACGGGAAGAAACACUCCUACGUGUAGGAACUUGACGGUACCGUAAGAAUAAGGAUCGGCUAACUCCGUGCCAGCAGCCGCCGC